GCAGUCGAACGAACUUCCGUUAAUUGAUUAUGACGUGCUUGCACUGAAUGAGAUUUUAACACGAAGUGAGUGGCGGACGGGUGAGUAACACGUGGGUAACCUGCCCAGAAGCAGGGGAUAACACCUGGAAACAGAUGCUAAUACCGUAUAACAGAGAAAACCGCCUGGUUUUCUUUUAAAAGAUGGCUCUGCUAUCACUUCUGGAUGGACCCGCGGCGCAUUAGCUAGUUGGUGAGGUAACGGCUCACCAAGGCGAUGAUGCGUAGCCGACCUGAGAGGGUAAUCGGCCACAUUGGGACUGAGACACGGCCCAGACUCCUACGGGAGGCAGCAGUAGGGAAUCUUCCACAAUGGACGCAAGUCUGAUGGAGCAACGCCGCGUGAGUGAAGAAGGGUUUCGGCUCGUAAAGCUCUGUUGUUAAAGAAGAACGUGGGUGAGAGUAACUAUUCACCCAGUGACGGUAUUUAACCAGAAAGCCACGGCUAACUACGUGCCAGCAGCCGCGGUAAUACGUAGGUGGCAAGCGUUAUCCGGAUUUAUUGGGCGUAAAGCGAGCGCAGGCGGUCUUUUAAGUCUAAUGUGAAAGCCUUCGGCUCAACCGAAGAAGUGCAUUGGAAACUGGGAGACUUGAGUGCAGAAGAGGACAGUGGAACUCCAUGUGUAGCGGUGAAAUGCGUAGAUAUAUGGAAGAACACCAGUGGCGAAGGCGGCUGUCUGGUCUGUAACUGACGCUGAGGCUCGAAAGCAUGGGUAGCGAACAGGAUUAGAUACCCUGGUAGUCCAUGCCGUAAACGAUGAUUACUAAGUGUUGGAGGGUUUCCGCCCUUCAGUGCUGCAGCUAACGCAUUAAGUAAUCCGCCUGGGGAGUACGACCGCAAGGUUGAAACUCAAAAGAAUUGACGGGGGCCCGCACAAGCGGUGGAGCAUGUGGUUUAAUUCGAAGCUACGCGAAGAACCUUACCAGGUCUUGACAUCUUCUGCCAACCUAAGAGAUUAGGCGUUCCCUUCGGGGACAGAAUGACAGGUGGUGCAUGGUUGUCGUCAGCUCGUGUCGUGAGAUGUUGGGUUAAGUCCCGCAACGAGCGCAACCCUUAUUACUAGUUGCCAGCAUUCAGUUGGGCACUCUAGUGAGACUGCCGGUGACAAACCGGAGGAAGGUGGGGACGACGUCAAAUCAUCAUGCCCCUUAUGACCUGGGCUACACACGUGCUACAAUGGAUGGUACAACGAGUUGCGAAACCGCGAGGUUUAGCUAAUCUCUUAAAACCAUUCUCAGUUCGGACUGUAGGCUGCAACUCGCCUACACGAAGUCGGAAUCGCUAGUAAUCGCGGAUCAGCAUGCCGCGGUGAAUACGUUCCCGGGCCUUGUACACACCGCCCGUCACACCAUGAGAGUUUGUAACACCCAAAGCCGGUGG
This 1419-nucleotide ribosomal RNA is filed under the name Lacticaseibacillus casei. Its description in RNAcentral is "bacterial SSU rRNA". It matches the Rfam family "Bacterial small subunit ribosomal RNA", at positions 57 to 1433 of the family's 1533-position model. The record is from RNAcentral. Lineage: Bacteria; Bacillati; Bacillota; Bacilli; Lactobacillales; Lactobacillaceae.